UCCCGGUCACCUCUUUUCUUUUCUUUUUCCUUCUUUGUUCUUCUUUCUUUCUCGGCCAUGAAACCGAGAGAGGAGAUCGAGAUGAAGAAGGAAAUUGAGCAGAGAAGUUAGGGUUUGUGUCGAAAUUGAAGAAUCAUAGUAUGGGUUUCGAAAUCAUGAAUCCAAAUCUAAAUUUCUGAUUCUAGCUCAAAGAAAGAAAGGUGUUGGUUAUGAACCCUCGAGUUGGUCAAUUCCAGUUGGGAUUUGAGAAUAAUCGAAAAGGGGAUUUUGGGUGUUCUUGUUUUGAGAUUGAAGAUAUUUCUGCUACCAAAAUAGUUUUUGAGCAGUUGAUACCCUAGGGGGCUUGUAUCUGAUGUGGACUAUGUUAAGGAUUUUUUCUCUGUUGCCCCCUUUGUUUUUUUUCCAACAAAUUGUACAUGUUCCGAUCUUCUCUUGUUGUUGUUCCUGUUUCAGCAUAGAGCUCCUACAGUGGGAUCUGCUCCACUAAGAAUCUGACUUAUAUGAUAUGUAAUGGCACUCUCUUCUGUUUGUUUACGGAUCACUGCCAGCACAUGGAGGCAUAUUUACUUGGAUGAUGCUGAUGCCAAUUUCGUACCAGGACCAGUGGCAUCUCGAUGUUGCGGAUUGCUGGGAUAUUCAUUGUUUUCAUCUCCGUUCUCCACUUCUCAUAGAGCUCUUACACUGGGAUCCGCUCCACGAAGAAUCUGGCACUCUCUUCUGUUUGUUUACGGAUCUCUGCCAGCACAUGGAGGCAUAUUUAACCGGGAUGACGCUGAUGCCAAUUUUGAUGCAAUCACGUAGUGGUGUCGUUUCAUCAGGUUCUUCGGACGACCCUCCCGCCGUGGCAACGGUUAUACUAGCAUGGCCACUUUUUUUGUAAAUUGUAAGUCAACAGUUGAUAUAAAAAGAUUGGAUUUGGUGUUCCAAACCUUUUUCAAUCAACAAUGAAAGAACUAAAGAGCCCCUCCAUGUUUCCUUUUCUCACUAAAACUAGCAUAAAUGUAACACAAAAUGAAGGGUAAUCGCGUAAAUGUUUUGGGCAGAAAAAAGGACACGGAGGUUGGAAAUAGUUUAAUUGUUGAGGGGCAGUUUAGUAAAAUCCAAGGUAAAGUGACCUAGAGGUUGCAGGAUCGAAUCCCGGCCACCUCCUUCUUUUUUUUUCCUUUUUUUUUCCCCCUUCUUCUUUCUUCUUCAGCCAUGGAACCGAUAGAGGAGAUCGAGACAGAGGAGAUUAAUGGAACAUGAUUGAAGAUAAAAAUGAUUGAGGAUAGAAAUUGAGAAGGAUUCGAAGUAGAAGAUGUGAAUGCUGCCAUCGAUUAACAACAGGAAGAAUGGAAAUGGUCGCUUCUGUUUGAAGUGAAGAGUUAGGGUUUUGCAGCGGAAUUCGAAAUUAAUUGAAGAAUUAAAUCCAGGGUCUGAGAAUUUGAGGGUUUUUCUGACUCUUGAUGUUACGGAGAAGAAGAUGUGGUUCUCUGUUAACAGAGAGAAGGGUUGAGGAACUCAAAUCGGUGAUGUGGAAAUCAGAGAGAUGGGUUCGAUGCUGUUACCAUAGUGAUAGUCAAGGGAUGGGGCUGUUGUCAAAUUAAGAGAAGAACGAAGAUCCUGGGUUGUGUAAUUUAUGGGUUUUUUUCAGAGAAGAUAAUGGAGAUGCUGUUGUGUAACGACGGGGGUUGAAAUUGAAGAACUGAAAGUGAAAUUAAUCUUAGUUAUAUUGGGAUUUCACUUAAUUCUGCUAGAUCAGUGCUUGAUCAUAUACAGGUAGUAAGUAACUCAUAUUUUGUUUAGUGUUGGUUUAAAUUUUUGUUGAAUAAUUUUGUUAAACAUGAUGGAAUUGUGUGAUGAUCAUAGGGAGAUGAUUUGCAUGUUGUUAUUAUAUCGAUACAAAUCUUAAUGCGUAUGAGAUAUCGACUGCUCAGGCAUUGUUGACACAAAUAAAAGGGUUGUGGCUUCCACUUUGGGAUGGUUCAAAGUUUCAAACCAUUACAGGAUACACAUUCUGCUUUUGCUUGUAUUUUUUUUCUUUUUUUCCUGUUAGUAAUGGGGAUUGCAUUUCAUCGGCAUUCUAAUCUUAGGUAGAUCCAGUUGGUGGGUACCUUUUUUCAGCUCAUGUCUUCUAGAUAUAUGCUUUGAGUUUGUUGCCAGCACGUAAUCUUAAUCUGGUGAAAUGGGGAAUAUAAGAGUAUUAAUUUGCUUUUGGAAGUUGAAUGAAUGUGUAUGACUUUCAAUCUUAAUUUCUGAUUGAGUGCUUAGCUGAUUUGGAAAAGAAUUUGAUGAAGAGAGGUUUAGAUUUGGUUAUAUAACAUGGAAAACCCGAAGAUAGUCUCCCUUCAAUUGCAAAAGCUUUUGGAACUCACGCAGUUAAUAGAUAUGUUAAUUUAUAAAUGAUAUUGAAGAGCAAUUCUUUUGCGAUGAGUUCUUUUGUGUACUGCACACUGCUCUAUAUGAUUCGUCAAGCAAGCUUUUGUUGAUUGAGGUAUAAAGAAAUUUGUAGUUAAGAGUUGCUUGUGGAAACACUAGUCAAAAGAGGUUUGCAAGGAGUAUCUCUACUCUCCGAGGAAUCCACAUCCACCAGUCGAAAUCCUACAAAUAUGAAGCUUGAGCUUGCUUGGGGAAGUCCUAUGUACCAUGUCGAUGAUCUCCCUUUUAAUCCGAGUAGUUUACCUGACAUAUAUCCCCAAUUUUGUAAGGCGAAAAAAGAAAUGGGUUUCGCGGGUGGUGAAAGUGCAGCACUGGGCAGAGUAUACAAGUAUUUCUGGAAGAAGGAUUUUGCUAGGUCCUGAUCACUUAACAAAAUUCUCUCCAUGCCAGAUGAAAAGGAUAGGCUAGCAGAGUCUACAUAUUGGUAUCUUACUGUCUUCAUUGGGCCGACCGGGAGGACCUUUAUAUGGGGUUGUUUUUUUUUUUUUUGUAAUCAGUUGACACAAAAAGAUUGGAUGUGGUGUCCAUGCUUAGUUUUUUUUUUCGUUCGACACAAUUAUCCCUCCAUUUUAAUCUAA
Molecule: RNA transcript, 2996 nt
Organism: Papaver somniferum (opium poppy)
Lineage: Eukaryota; Viridiplantae; Streptophyta; Magnoliopsida; Ranunculales; Papaveraceae
Exons: 8
Source: RefSeq, a predicted model, not a curated record